CAAGUCCUGAUGUUUGCGGCCCCCUGCAGUUAACGGCUGAUCACAACCUAGAUACCUAACAUCACCUGGCUACCCCGUCUCUAUAGGAGAAAAAGCUCAGAUGCAAAUGGGACAUCAAAGCAAAUGAGGGAGAGAGGGUUCGAGUUGUCUUUCUUGAUUACAACAUUAUAAAUCUGUCCAACUGUAAAGAUGAUUAUGUGAAGAUCUUUGACGGAAUCGACCCAUUCAGCUCACAACUGGAAGUACUUUGCAAGUUCACUCAGCAUAGUCUCACAAUAACUAGUACAGGGAGAUAUAUGAGGAUUGAGUUAAAAAACAAACCUCUUUGUAUCAGGCAGAGGGUUCGAGUUAACGUACACCAGUGGUGAUUUUGAAGUCCAACGACACCUUGAUGUAACUAGCGAACAUUUAAUCCAAUUAUUUUCUCCUGGAUACCCAGGUAAUUUUGAAGGUAAAUACCAUCUUACCUGGAGGAUAGAAGCUGGUUCAGUGGGAAAAAUCCUUCAAAUGAUUGUUAAAGAAUCACAUCUUCCGUACAACCAUAAAUGUGGCACAGAUUAUUUGGAAGCACAUGAUGGCUAUGACUCGUCAAGCAUAUCUUUGGCAAAGUGGUGCGGAGACGAGAGGCCAUCUAAAGACAGCUCAGGAUCGCACAUAUUCCUUGUAUCCCAUGCUAGUAGUGUUGAGACCCGUGGAGUUUUUAUGAUCAACUUUUUUGUGGUGCUAAAACCACACCAGGAGUCUGGAGACAGCGUGAAAACAACCACCAUACUUUUGUUAUGCAUUGCAGUUGUCCUAGUUCUGGUAAUGCUCUUCAGUGUUUACAAAAUUCGCCAGAGACGACGCCAUCGGUCAUCACACACUGAUCAUGCUUUCGUGGCCACCACGAUGUCUUCAAACCCAGCACUUCAGGCACCACACCAAGCAGCGGCUAUGCCAGCUGGGGGCGAAACAGAAUUACCUCCCUACACCUCAGCUGCUCAAAGCCAGCCUCCCCCGUCAUACGAAAGUCUGGAGUUUGGACCCAACAAUGUAAACGUAGCAGCGAAGAUGUUAUUCUGUCUGAUAGACGUAUGGGGAUUAAUACAUGGAACUGUACAGUUGAAUGCCUUCAAUACGACAAGACAGGAUGUGUUAUAGGAGAAUUAAUAUCAACACUGUUUUCUAAAGCAAUCCACUGUAUAUAGACGUGAAGGUGAUAGCAUACUUGGAGGAUACUAAUAAACGGUCGUUUGAAAGAGAGAGAGAGAGGAGAUGCGUGUGCGUGUGCAUGUAACUUGAGCUUAUCACAGAGUUUGAAUAAUGAAAUACUGUACAAAAGAUCAAAAUGAGAUUUACAUACAAUACCACUGCAUUGAAACUGAUUAUUUUAUAUGUAUUCAGUAAGUAAAUGAUGAUCUUAUUAGUACUCUUAACUUAUAUUUGUUGUUAAAAAGAUUCAGUAUUUGAUAAGAAUGAUCGUGUAUGUUACCUCAAUGUAAAAUGUCUUGCAAUGUAAACUACCAACAUUUA
Molecule: unclassified non-coding RNA, 1512 nt
Filed under: Haliotis rubra (blacklip abalone)
Lineage: Eukaryota; Metazoa; Mollusca; Gastropoda; Lepetellida; Haliotidae
Description: cubilin-like, transcript variant X4
Source: RNAcentral